RNAcentral lists this ribosomal RNA (180 nucleotides) under uncultured Glomeromycotina. RNAcentral's name for it is "partial small subunit ribosomal RNA". The stretch from base 88 to 180 matches the Rfam family "Eukaryotic small subunit ribosomal RNA", at positions 734 to 829 of the family's 1831-position model. Lineage: Eukaryota; Fungi; Glomeromycota. The record is from RNAcentral.
GACCUGGCUGGGUGGUCCGCUUAACGGCGUGUACUGCUUGGCUGGGCCUUACCUCUUGGUGAGCCAGUGUGCCCUUUAUUGGUGUGCAUUGGGGAACCAGGACUUUUACCUUGAGAAAAUUAGAGUGUUCAAAGCAGGCCUAUGCCUGAAUACAUUAGCAUGGAAUAACGGAAUAGGACU